Molecule: ribosomal RNA, 561 nt
Filed under: uncultured bacterium
Lineage: Bacteria
Description: partial 16S ribosomal RNA
Rfam family: Bacterial small subunit ribosomal RNA
Source: RNAcentral
UGGGGAAUCUUGCGCAAUGGGCGAAAGCCUGACGCAGCCAUGCCGCGCGAAUGAUGAAGGUCUUAGGAUUGUAAAAUUCUUUCACCGGGGACGAUAAUGACGGUACCCGGAGAAGAAGCCCCGGCUAACUUCGUGCCAGCAGCCGCGGUAAUACGAAGGGGGCUAGCGUUGCUCGGAAUUACUGGGCGUAAAGGGAGCGUAGGCGGACAUUUAAGUCAGGGGUGAAAUCCCGGGGCUCAACCUCGGAAUUGCCUUUGAUACUGGGUGUCUUGAGUGUGAGAGAGGUACGUGGAACUCCGAGUGUAGAGGUGAAAUUCGUAGAUAUUCGGAAGAACACCAGUGGCGAAGGCGACAUACUGGCUCAUUACUGACGCUGAGGCUCGAAAGCGUGGGGAGCAAACAGGAUUAGAUACCCUGGUAGUCCACGCCGUAAACGAUGAUUGCUAGUUGUCGGGAUGCAUGCAUUUCGGUGACGCAGCUAACGCAUUAAGCAAUCCGCCUGGGGAGUACGGUCGCAAGAUUAAAACUUAAAUGAAUUGACGGGGUCAUAGCUGUUUCCUG